AUGGGUCGAGGGGGAGGCAUCGCCCCUCCAGCUAAAGGUGAGGGGUGUGGGUUCUUGGAAUCCUGUCCAGCGUUCUGUUGUGGGAACUGCAUCUUCAAAUUUUGUUGCUCAGAUGUGCUGAAGAAGAUUGAUGACAACAUUCUGUGCCCUGGGGAGAGAUCAAUAAAGUGGGAAGAAAAAGACAAGAAAAUGACGUUUGACUUUGACCACAGCCCCCCACCAGGGGGAGGAGAGGAGAGACGGUGCCGGCUGCCCAAGGGGAAGAUUAUAGGAAGUGCUUCAGCAUGUAGUAGGGACAAAGAUGGGGUAAGUUUGGGGAGCAUGGGUAUCUGUGUGCCUGUCAGCGUGUAUCCCUCUUGGCUCGCUUGCGCCUGUCUGUCCUUGUAUGUCUUCUUGUUUAUGCGUGUUUCUUUGUAUGUCUCACGCUGUGCGUUUGUGUAUAGGAAUGUAGCUGAUAGUGCCCCUCAGGGUGUUCUUUAG
RNAcentral lists this long non-coding RNA (480 nucleotides) under Phascolarctos cinereus (koala). Its description in RNAcentral is "lncRNA (ENSPCIG00000010145.2)". Lineage: Eukaryota; Metazoa; Chordata; Mammalia; Diprotodontia; Phascolarctidae. The record is from RNAcentral.